UAAAAUAUAAGAGUUGGUUUGGACUGCUCCUGGAUCCUCAGUUUCAACUCGACGACGAGUAUAUCGACUCGCUCAUGAUGCUAACGGCGAGGAAGGUUGAGAAGUGUAAACAUCUAUUGCGUGUGCGAUUCGCAAUAGGCGACGUACUUCUAUCCAACUUGCUACGACGAACAGACGGG
Molecule: non-coding RNA, 179 nt
Organism: Momordica charantia (bitter melon)
Lineage: Eukaryota; Viridiplantae; Streptophyta; Magnoliopsida; Cucurbitales; Cucurbitaceae
Source: RefSeq, a predicted model, not a curated record